GAUGAGCGCUAGCGGCAGGCCUAAUACAUGCAAGUCGAACGGGAUCCAGAUCAAAGCUUGCUUUGGUCUGGUGAGAGUGGCGCACGGGUGCGUAACGCGUGAGCAACCUACCCUUGUCAGGGGGAUAGCCCGGCGAAAGUCGGAUUAAUACCGCAUGACAUCAUUGAGAGGCAUCUUUCGAUGAUCAAAGAUUUAUCGGACAAGGAUGGGCUCGCGUGACAUUAGCUAGUUGGUAAGGUAACGGCUUACCAAGGCUGCGAUGUCUAGGGGCUCUGAGAGGAGAAUCCCCCACACUGGUACUGAGACACGGACCAGACUCCUACGGGAGGCAGCAGUAAGGAAUAUUGGUCAAUGGACGGAAGUCUGAACCAGCCAUGCCGCGUGCAGGAAGACGGCCCUAUGGGUUGUAAACUGCUUUUAUACGGGAACAAACGUCGGUACGUGUACCGGUCUGAGUGUACCGUAAGAAUAAGGAUCGGCUAACUCCGUG
Molecule: ribosomal RNA, 490 nt
Filed under: uncultured bacterium
Lineage: Bacteria
Description: partial 16S ribosomal RNA
Rfam family: Bacterial small subunit ribosomal RNA
Source: RNAcentral